Molecule: ribosomal RNA, 492 nt
Filed under: uncultured bacterium
Lineage: Bacteria
Description: partial 16S ribosomal RNA
Rfam family: Bacterial small subunit ribosomal RNA
Source: RNAcentral
AGUGAACGCUGGCGGUAGGCCUAACACAUGCAAGUCGAACGGCAGCACAGUAAGAGCUUGCUCUUACGGGUGGCGAGUGGCGGACGGGUGAGGAAUACAUCGGAAUCUACUUUUUCGUGGGGGAUAACGUAGGGAAACUUACGCUAAUACCGCAUACGGCCUACGGGUGAAAGCAGGGGAUCUUCGGACCCUGCGCGAUUGAAUGAGCCGAUGUCGGAUUAGCUAGUUGGCGGGGUAAAGGCCCACCAAGGCGACGAUCCGUAGCUGGUCUGAGAGGAUGAUCAGCCACACUGGAACUGAGACACGGUCCAGACUCCUACGGGAGGCAGCAGUGGGGAAUAUUGGACAAUGGGCGCAAGCCUGAUCCAGCCAUACCGCGUGGGUGAAGAAGGCCUUCGGGUUGUAAAGCCCUUUUGUUGGGAAAGAAAAGCAGCAGGUUAAUACCCCGCUGUUCUGACGGUACCCAAAGAAUAAGCACCGGCUAACUUCGUG